CCUAGAAUAAAUCUAAGGUGGAACCUGCCCAAUGAUUUUUAAUUAUAUAAAUGUGAAUAUUUACAAUAAAAUUUAAAGGACGCAGUAACCUGACUGUGGUAAUGUAGCAUAAUCAUUUGCCAUUUAAUUGGUGGAUAGAAUGAAUGGUCAAACGAAUACUUCACUGUCUCAAAAAAAGGAUUCAUGAAAUUAAAAUAAUAGUAAAGAUGCUAUUUAAAAUUGUAAGACGAAAAGACCCUAUAGAGCUUAACUAUAUUCUCCUUUAAAAAUAAAGAGCAAAAAUUCUGGAAUAAGGAGAAAGGUAGUUUAGUUGGGGCGACUGUCUUCUAAAAAAAACGAAGAUAAGCAAUAUUAAUAAAUAAUUUAUUGUAUAAUAAAUAAAUUUAACAAUUAUGAAAGUAGGCUAUAAUGACCCGUUAUAAUUACAUGAUGAAAAUAACGAUCAAUAAAUAAAAGCUACCUUAGGGAUAACAGGAUAAUUUUGUUUUAGAGAUCCUAUCGAAAACAAAGUUUGUCACCUCGAUGUUGAAUUAAGAUAACCUAAUAGAGCAGAAGCUAUUAAAGGUGGGUCUGUUCGACCUUUAAAAU
Molecule: ribosomal RNA, 588 nt
Filed under: Calyptopora cf. reticulata AL-2008
Lineage: Eukaryota; Metazoa; Cnidaria; Hydrozoa; Anthoathecata; Stylasteridae
Description: partial 16S large subunit ribosomal RNA
Rfam family: Bacterial large subunit ribosomal RNA
Source: RNAcentral